UAUACAUAAGCGGAGGAAAAGAAACUAACAAGGAUUCCCCUCAUAACUGCGAGUGAAGCGGGAAAAGCUCAAAUUUAAAAUCUGGCGGUCUCUGACUGUCCGAGUUGUAAUCUAGAGAAGUGUUAUCCGCGCUGGACCGUGUACAAGUCUCCUGGAAUGGAGCGUCAUAGAGGGUGAGAAUCCCGUCUUUGACACGGACUGCCAGGGCUUUGUGAUAUGCUCUCAAAGAGUCGAGUUGUUUGGGAAUGCAGCUCAAAAUGGGUGGUAAAUUCCAUCUAAAGCUAAAUAUUGGCGAGAGACCGAUAGCGAACAAGUACCGUGAGGGAAAGAUGAAAAGAACUUUGGAAAGAGAGUUAAACAGUACGUGAAAUUGCUGAAAGGGAAACGCUUGAAGUCAGUCACGUUGGCCAGGGAUCAACCUUGCUUUUGCUUGGUGUACUUUCUGGUUGAUGGGUCAGCAUCAAUUUUGACCAUUGGAAAAAGGUCAAGGGAAUGUGGCAUCUUCGGAUGUGUUAUAGCCCUUGGUUGCAUACAAUGGUUGGGAUUGAGGAACUCAGCAUGCCGCAAGGCCGGGUUUUUAACCACGUACGUGCUUAGGAUGCUGGCAAAAUGGCUUUAAUCGACCCGUCUUGAAACACGGACCAAGGAGUCUAACAUGCCUGCGAGUGUUUGGGUGGAAAACCCGAGCGCGUAAUGAAAGUGAAAGUUGAGAUCCCUGUCGUGGGGAGCAUCGACGCCCGGACCAGACCUUUUGUGACGGUUCCGCGGUAGAGCAUGUAUGUUGGGACCCGAAAGAUGGUGAACUAUGCCUGAAUAGGGUGAAGCCAGAGGAAACUCUGGUGGAGGCUCGUAGCGAUUCUGACGUGCAAAUCGAUCGUCAAAUUUGGGUANAGGGGCGAAAGACUA
RNAcentral lists this ribosomal RNA (906 nucleotides) under Cortinarius allutus. RNAcentral describes it as "LSU rRNA". It matches the Rfam family "Eukaryotic large subunit ribosomal RNA", at positions 41 to 933 of the family's 3401-position model. The record is from RNAcentral. Lineage: Eukaryota; Fungi; Basidiomycota; Agaricomycetes; Agaricales; Cortinariaceae.